CAAAGUAUCUUCUGCCCACUGACUUGGUUAAAUGGCCGCAGUACCCUGACUGUGCUAAGGUAGCGUGAUUCUUGUUUUCUUAAUUAGAAAUCUGUUCAAAGAAUGAUAUGUAGAAAAUCUAUUGUUUUUGUAUAAAAUGAAGUUAAAUUGUGAGUGAAAAUUCUCAUUUAUUUAUAAAAGACGAGAAGACCCCAUAAAACUUAAUUUGAUUAUUCUUUUUAGACUGUUAAAAUUUAGAUGGGAACUUUAGAGUAUAAUAAUAACUUAUAUGACCUAUAUUUUUAUUUUUUGAGAAGCUACUUUGGGGAUAACAGGGUAAAAUAUUUAGAGAGUUCUUAUCGAUAAAUGUGCUUACUACCUCGAUGUUGGAUUAUCUUUUCA
RNAcentral lists this ribosomal RNA (381 nucleotides) under Brachionus caudatus. RNAcentral's name for it is "partial 16S ribosomal RNA". It matches the Rfam family "Bacterial large subunit ribosomal RNA", at positions 1896 to 2547 of the family's 2925-position model. Lineage: Eukaryota; Metazoa; Rotifera; Eurotatoria; Ploima; Brachionidae. The record is from RNAcentral.